This 269-nucleotide ribosomal RNA is filed under the name uncultured bacterium. RNAcentral's name for it is "partial 16S ribosomal RNA". It matches the Rfam family "Bacterial small subunit ribosomal RNA", at positions 336 to 603 of the family's 1533-position model. The record is from RNAcentral.
UUCCUACGGGACGCAGCAGUGAGGAAUAUUGGUCAAUGGGCGAGAGCCUGAACCAGCCAAGUCGCGUGAGGGAGUACUGCCCUAUGGGUUGUAAACCUCUUUUGUCGGGGAGCAAAAGCCGGACGUGUCCGGCUGUGAGAGUACCCGAAGAAAAAGCAUCGGCUAACUCCGUGCCAGCAGCCGCGGUAAUACGGAGGAUGCGAGCGUUAAUCGGAAUUACUGGGUGUAAAGGGUGCGCAGGCGGUUGAGUAAGACAGAUGUUAAAUCCC